AGUGGAGGAAAAUCAUCAAAAUUUCAUCUUCUUCUUCCUCAACCAGUCGUGACUUCCAUUGAAGAUCAUAACCAAGCUCCCGAGUCGAGCAAGAAAAAGGACAAGGAUAAGGUUGCUGAGUAGUUAGACUUCAUUACAACAUACUAGGGAGGUAUAUCUGGUAAAAGCAAAGACUAGUCGAGUAAGGAGUGCAACAACAACUAUCAUCAAUCUAAGAUCAUCAACUGGAGAGCUUGCUUGAAAUUCCCCGAGGAACCAAAAAUAUCUGCCGAGGCUAAGAAUUUAAUAUGUCACCUUCUCUGUGAUGUUGAAACCCGCCUGGGCACCAGAGGGGUAGAAGAAUUGAAGGUAAGUCCUUUCAGUGAUAAUACAUGUUCCUUUAAGUAUUAUAUAUUAAAAUUUAAAGAGGCCCCUUUAUGAUUUUUGUACCUGUUUUUGUUGUUAGAUAUCUUUGAAUCAAAUAUUCAUGACAAGUAAACAUAUUUCUCUGGUCUGAAGAUUGCAUCUAGAUGUUAAUUUUGUACAUUGACAAAUGAGUUGCACCAUCUGCAAUAUUUUAGUAUUAGAUUGUUUACUUUCUCAGUUUGAGCUUGUUGGUAUUUUGUUCAAUUAUAACUUUGAAGUCUUGAAGCACAUCCGUGGUUCAAAGGUGUUAGGUGGGAAAAGCUAUAUGAGAUUGAAGCAGCAUAUAAGCCAACAGUCAAUGGAGACUUGGAUACUCAAAAUUUUGGGAAGUUCCCUGAAAUUGAUGGCCCUCCCUCCUCAAUACCGGAAGUGGGACCUUGGAGGAAGAUGUUGACAUCAAAAGUUAACAAUUUCAUAGGAUUUACAUUUAAGAAAUCAGACAUUGUUAAGUCACUUGAAAGUUCAGGAACUGACAUGAGAUACAACGGACCUUCGAAAGCUCCUUCCACCAUUUCCUUGUUAGGGCGAAUCGAUCUUCAAGAAACGGUAAUGCCGGAGGAAGAGCAGGAGCAAGAAAUUUGAAUCCGUUGUUGGCAUCUGCUAGCAUAGUUUCAUCUCAGGUACACAUUCUGCAACGCCCAAAGGGGAUUCAUGAGAUUAAUUUAGUCAAAGAAGUGCUGCUUGGAGACACACUUAAAAAGGUCAACUAAAAAUACAUGAUAUCAUCUUUGACUUCCUUGUUUUCGUAUCUCCAAAAAUCGUUGUUGUAUAAGAGCUGCUGUAAAGCCCAAACUACGUUCAAACCAUUUUGACUGUAAUUUUAGCAGGAGUUAAUUUUGCCUUGAUAUGCGAUUCCUGUUGGAAUUUUGUAGUAUGGGCUUGGCUUACGUAGCUUCAAUAAAUAUCUUUGUUUGGAGUGCAGUGGAGAAAUCGGACAUCGCAAACU
Long non-coding RNA from Hibiscus syriacus, 1351 nucleotides. RefSeq lists it as uncharacterized. The transcript has 8 exons. NCBI's taxonomy places the organism in Eukaryota, Viridiplantae, Streptophyta, Magnoliopsida, Malvales, Malvaceae. The record is from RefSeq and is a predicted model, not a curated record.